This 115-nucleotide non-coding RNA is filed under the name bovine gut metagenome. Its description in RNAcentral is "FMN riboswitch (RFN element)". It matches the Rfam family "FMN riboswitch aptamer (RFN element)". From Rfam's summary of the family: The RFN element is a highly conserved domain that is found frequently in the 5'-untranslated regions of prokaryotic mRNAs that encode for flavin mononucleotide (FMN) biosynthesis and transport proteins. This element is a metabolite-dependent riboswitch that directly binds FMN in the absence of proteins. In Bacillus subtilis, the riboswitch most likely controls gene expression by causing premature transcription termination within the 5' untranslated region of the ribDEAHT operon and precluding access to the ribosome-binding site of ypaA mRNA. The record is from RNAcentral.
UUCUUCGGGGUUGGGUGAAAUUCCCUACCGGCGGUGACAGCCCGCGAACUGAACGAACCGUUCAGCCGAUUCGGUGAAAUUCCGAUGCCGACAGUACAGUCUGGAUGAGAGAAGA